UAUGAAUAUGAUUUUGGUUCUAGGAUUUAUUUUUUUGGAUAUUUUAUAUGUAAUCUAUUUAAAGUAUUUUGAUGCAGUAUUUAAUUUUGUUAUUCUUUAUUUAUUUUAGAGUUGGUAGUUUUUUAGUUUUGACGAAAUUUGUGCCAGCAUUUGCGGUUAUACAGGUGAGGCGAUUAAAUUUUUUCUUUUUGCAGUGAUAUUUAUUUUUUUUAUUAUAAUAGUUUUAUUUUUAGGUGAAAUUUUUUUUAAUUUUUGUGGUUUUUUUUUUAGGGAUUGAAUUGUAAAAUUCUUAUUUAGACUAGGAUUAGAUACCCUAUUAUUUUGUAAUUUAAAUUUUUUGAUUAGUAUUAGUUUAUUUCUUGAAAAUUAAAAUAUUUGGCGGUAUUUUAGCCCAUUUAGAGGAACCUGUUUAGUAAUUGAUAGUCCACGAUUUGUUUUACUUUAUUUUUUAUUUUGUAUAUCGUCGUUUUUGAAUAUUUUAUUAGAAUUAUAAUUUUCUAUUUAUUUUUAUUUAAUAGUAUUUCAGAUCAAGGUGCAGUUUAUAAUAAAGUUUUAAUGGGUUACAUUUAAUUUAUUUUUGGAUUUUAUUUUGAGUAUUUAUUUGAAAUUGGAUUUAAUAGUAAUUUUAUUUUGAUAUUUAAUUUGAUUAAGGCUCUUAAAUAUGUACAUAUUGCCCGUCACUCUUAAAUAAUUUAAGAGAAGUCGUAACAAAGUAGGUGUACUGGAAAGUGCACCUGGAAUCAU
Molecule: non-coding RNA, 744 nt
Filed under: Chelonarium sp. BMNH 840450
Lineage: Eukaryota; Metazoa; Arthropoda; Insecta; Coleoptera; Chelonariidae
Source: RNAcentral